This 734-nucleotide long non-coding RNA is filed under the name Saimiri boliviensis boliviensis (Bolivian squirrel monkey). RNAcentral describes it as "lncRNA (ENSSBOG00000036603.1)". The record is from RNAcentral. Lineage: Eukaryota; Metazoa; Chordata; Mammalia; Primates; Cebidae.
AAAAUAAUUUGACAGUCGAUUUGCUGACAGGGGAGGAAUUUGCAUCCUGGAUUUAAAAAAAAAAAAAAGGCCGAGAGGAGCUUGGGAACGGUUGCUAGGGGUGGGUAAUGGGUGAAAAAAGGGGGGUACCAAGCAGCGGAUAAGGAGGGUUAAGGGAGGGGGCGAGGAUGGGGAGCAAUGCAAAAGGUAAGGCCAGGUUGCCGCGGCUCGGCCCCGAGUGGGCUGCGGCCGGGGGAGGGGCGAGAGAUACAUAUGUAUUUCUGUCUCCCCAGCACACCCCCUUCCCUCUAAGCGAUGGCUGAGAGGCGGUGCAUGCAGAUGGGGAGUAAGUUUCCUGAAGGGGAGGGUGGAUGCACGCUCGCAGCCCGGCGCUGCAAAUUUCCACCGGGGAGGGAGAGCGGCUGGAUGCGGAGAGUUUGGAGUUGCUUGCGGCGGAGGGCAGGAAGGGGAGCAGGGCUGGGAAAGGGGGCUGGCGGGCGCUAUAUCUGGGAGUAAGUUUCCAGCAUCGGGAGAGCCUGCACGCUUGCUCACUACUCUGCUCGCCCCCCAUCCCAAACCCCAAGCGGAGACUGGUCUUUUCGUCGGAUUGUCCAUGCACUUGUUGCAGAAACAGCCAAGGCCCUGGCUGUGGAGGAUGCUGAAGGAAGAAGACGCAGAAGCAGGACAACCCUGAAAGACUGAGCCUCUUCAUCCUCAAGCAGGUAGCUUCUUGGGAAUUCUUGAUGUUGGAACAU